UGGGGAAUCUUGGACAAUGGGGGCAACCCUGAUCCGGCAAUGCCGCGUGUGGGAUGAAGGCCUUCGGGUUGUAAACCACUUUUGGCGGGGGCGAAAUAUCGAGUGCUAAUACCAUUCGGUGAUGACGGUACCCGCAGAAUAAGCACCGGCUAACUACGUGCCAGCAGCCGCGGUAAUACGUAGGGUGCAAGCGUUAAUCGGAAUUACUGGGCGUAAAGCGUGCGCAGGCGGUUAGGUAAGACAGAUGUGAAAUUCCCGGGCUCAACCUGGGAACUGCAUUUGUGACUGCCUGACUAGAGUGCGGCAGAGGGGAGUGGAAUUCCGCGUGUAGCAGUGAAAUGCGUAGAUAUGCGGAGGAACACCGAUGGCGAAGGCAACUCCCUGGGCCUGCACUGACGCUCAUGCACGAAAGCGUGGGGAGCAAACAG
This 428-nucleotide ribosomal RNA is filed under the name uncultured bacterium. RNAcentral describes it as "bacterial SSU rRNA". It matches the Rfam family "Bacterial small subunit ribosomal RNA", at positions 355 to 775 of the family's 1533-position model. The record is from RNAcentral.